This 255-nucleotide ribosomal RNA is filed under the name uncultured bacterium. RNAcentral describes it as "partial 16S ribosomal RNA". It matches the Rfam family "Bacterial small subunit ribosomal RNA", at positions 99 to 354 of the family's 1533-position model. The record is from RNAcentral.
CGGACGGGUGAGUAACGCGUGGAGAACCUGCCGUAUACUGGGGGAUAACACUUAGAAAUAGGUGCUAAUACCGCAUAAGCGCACAGCUUCGCAUGAAGCAGUGUGAAAAACUCCGGUGGUAUACGAUGGAUCCGCGUCUGAUUAGCUGGUUGGCGGGGUAAAGGCCCACCAAGGCGACGAUCAGUAGCCGGCCUGAGAGGGUGAACGGCCGCAUUGGGACUGAGACACGGCCCAAACUCCUACGGAAGGCAGCAG